GAUACUGAAAUGCAGAAGAAUGAAAAUGGAUCAAAACACGUAUAUUCUUUAUCCAAAACUUUAAGUAAUAACAUAAAUAAAUUAACUACUAUGAAUUCAUUAAACAUGUAUGAAAAUUAUGAUAAAAGAGAAGAUUGUAGUUUUUUUGAUUCUGGUAUUAUACAAGAGGAAUUCACAAAUGUGAAAGACUAUUGCAGCGGUGAAUGUAAUAGUAACCGUUAUAGUAAUGACAUUAAUCACCGAAAGGAAAACUACAAUAACGAUUUUACAUCCGAUAAAAAUACUUUUAACGAUAACCGACACAACAUAAACAAUUUAAUAAAAAAAAAAAAAUAUCCAUUCACUCUUUUCGAUAUUAACAAAUAUGAAAAUGUAUAUACUAACAUUAUAAAAGAUUGUAAUGUAUGUAUAUCUACUUGUUUAGUAUGUAUGGAACGAUUAGAUAACAACAUUUAUUUUAUCCUUAGUAGAAAUAAAAAAUGGAGUUAUAUUGAAAAAGAAAAUAAUAAUUAUUAUAAUUAUAUAAACUUAUCUUGUUAUGUUUGUGUAUUAAUAUUUUUUUAUUAUGUUUUGUUAAAAUUUGAAGGUAACUAUCAUACUAUUGAUAGUUUUCUUUUUAAUUUUCAAAAGCAGCUCGGAGAGAAGGAGGAUAAGGAGGACAAGGAGAAAGAGGAGGAGAGAGAGGAGAGAGAGGAGGACAAGGGGGAGGAGAAAGAGAAAGAGGAGGAGAAGGAGAAAGAGGAGGAAAAGGAGGAAAAGGAGGACAAGGGGGAGGAGGAGAAAGAGAAAGAGGAGAAAGAGGAGAAAGAGGAGGAGAGAGAGGAGAGAGAGGAGAGAGAGGAGGACAAGGGGGAGGAGAAAGAGAAAGAGGAGGAGAAGAAGAAGAAGAAGGAAAACGAGAAAGAGAAAGAGAAAGAAAAAAAGAAAGAACAAGAGAAAGAGAAAGAGAAAGAGAACGAACAAGAACAAGAUAUGGAAAACGAUAAAAAACUAAUAUACAAGGAGUUACAAACAUAUUUUUUCAAUCAGUAUAAUGGUGUGAAAAAAGAAAAAAUAGAUAAUUACAUGAACAAUGAAAACAACUGUAACAUGUUAAAUGUUCAUAAAAACUGGGACAAUAUAAACAAAAUGAAUAACAUAAUAUACAUACUGGUCGAAUUAUAUACACUAGUGAAAAAUUUAAAAUGCAAAUGUUGUAACAAUAACGACGAUAUAUGGCUUUGUUUAAUAUGUGGUAACAUAGGAUGUAGUCGGUACCAAAAAAGUCAUGCAAAAAUACAUAGUACCACAUUUAAUCAUAAUUAUUGUAUUAAUUUAAAAACAAAACAAGUAUGGAAUUACUUACAGGAUAAAUUUAUGGAAAAAAAUAUAUAUGACAAUAGUAUAGAGGACAGUGAUUGCCCAAAUCAUUCUCUUUAUUAUUUUGAUGAAAAAAUAUACAAACAAAAUUUGCGCAAUUUUCAUAACAAUAAUAACAGUAGUCAU
Molecule: long non-coding RNA, 1485 nt
Filed under: Piliocolobus tephrosceles (Ugandan red Colobus)
Lineage: Eukaryota; Metazoa; Chordata; Mammalia; Primates; Cercopithecidae
Description: lncRNA (ENSPTEG00000006624.1)
Source: RNAcentral